AUGAAUGCUGGCGGCGUGCCUAACACAUGCAAGUCGCGCGGCAGCGAGGGGUGCUUGCACCCUGUCGGCGAGCGGCGAACGGCUGAGUAACGCGUAGGAAUUUGCCCCAAAGUGAGGAAUAACUGCCCGAAAGGGUAGCUAAUGCCGCAUAUGGUCUUCGGAUUAAAGGAUUUAUCCGCUUUGGGAGAAGCCUGCGUUGGAUUAGGUUGUUGGUAGGGUAAUGGCCUACCAAGCCGACGAUCCAUAGCUGGUCUGAGAGGAUGAUCAGCCAGACUGGAACUGAGACACGGUCCAGACUCCUACGGGAGGCAGCAGUGAGGAAUCUUCCACAAUGGGCGAAAGCCUGAUGGAGCAACGCCGCGUGAAGGAUGAAGGCCUUCGGGUUGUAAACUUCUUUUAUGAGUGAAGAAUAUGACGGUAACUCAUGAAUAAGCACCGGCUAACUACGUG
RNAcentral lists this ribosomal RNA (450 nucleotides) under uncultured bacterium. Its description in RNAcentral is "partial 16S ribosomal RNA". It matches the Rfam family "Bacterial small subunit ribosomal RNA", at positions 29 to 507 of the family's 1533-position model. The record is from RNAcentral.